UACGUAGGGGGCUAGCGUUGUCCGGAAUCAUUGGGCGUAAAGCGCGCGUAGGCGGCCCGGUAAGUCCGCUGUGAAAGUCAAAGGCUCAACCUUUGAAAGCCGGUGGAUACUGCCGGGCUAGAGUCCGGAAGAGGCGAGUGGAAUUCCUGGUGUAGCGGUGGAAUGCGCAGAUAUCAGGAGGAACACCGAUGGCGAAGGCAGGUCUCUGGGCCACUACUGACGCUGAGAAGCGAAAGCAUGGGGAGCGAACAGG
This 253-nucleotide ribosomal RNA is filed under the name uncultured bacterium. Its description in RNAcentral is "partial 16S ribosomal RNA". It matches the Rfam family "Bacterial small subunit ribosomal RNA", at positions 524 to 776 of the family's 1533-position model. The record is from RNAcentral.